UACGUAGGGUGCGAGCGUUGUCCGGAAUUACUGGGCGUAAAGAGCUCGUAGGUGGUUUGUCGCGUUGUCCGUGAAAACUCACAACUCAAUUGUGGGCGUGCGGGCGAUACGGGCAGACUGGAGUACUGCAGGGGAGACUGGAAUUCCUGGUGUAGCGGUGGAAUGCGCAGAUAUCAGGAGGAACACCGGUGGCGAAGGCGGGUUGCUGGGCUGACACUGACGCUGAAGCGCGAAAGCUAGGGGAGCGAACGGG
RNAcentral lists this ribosomal RNA (253 nucleotides) under uncultured bacterium. RNAcentral's name for it is "partial 16S ribosomal RNA". It matches the Rfam family "Bacterial small subunit ribosomal RNA", at positions 524 to 776 of the family's 1533-position model. The record is from RNAcentral.